Molecule: transfer RNA, 79 nt
Filed under: Pseudocodium devriesii
Lineage: Eukaryota; Viridiplantae; Chlorophyta; Ulvophyceae; Bryopsidales; Halimedaceae
Description: tRNA-Lys
Rfam family: tRNA
About the family: Transfer RNA (tRNA) molecules are approximately 80 nucleotides in length.
Source: RNAcentral
UGGGUUGCUAACUCAAUAGGUUAGAGUCAUCGGCUUUUAACCGAUAGGUUCUGGGUUCGACUCCCAGGCAUCCCACCCA